This 1733-nucleotide unclassified non-coding RNA is filed under the name Hevea brasiliensis (rubber tree). The record is from RNAcentral. Lineage: Eukaryota; Viridiplantae; Streptophyta; Magnoliopsida; Malpighiales; Euphorbiaceae.
GGUUUUUUAAAACUGAUUUGCCCAUGUGCGUGGAUCCACAAACUGAUGGUGUUUGAUCAAAAUUGUCAGGACCAAUUUCACAAUCUCUACGUCUAAGCAUGCCCUUUUCUCGUUUGACCUGAUCUCUAUGGUUUUUUCCUUUUAAGUGAACCGCCGCCCUAAAGAAUCGCCAGUCUCUCCCCUCUUCAGCCUCCAAUUGUUGAAUCAUUCAGGUAAGUUCUUCAUUUUAGCAGUCUUUUCGUGGAUCCUGUUAUUCAUGAGUCACAAAUUUCGGGUUCUCUUUUUGUGUUGUUUUUAUCAUUUGUUGUAUAUUUUAAGCCCGUACUUUUAUUAGGUUUAAUAAAUGUCAUUGGCUUAGAUCAGUGAUUUGGCUGCGACUAUGAUUCAUGGAACAUUGGUGGUUUAGAAUUUAGAUUAGAUCAAAUUUUUUUAUUUGGAUGCUUUUGUGGGUCAAUUAUGUCCUUGUUCAAGGCCUUUUAUAUUUGAUUUGCUGAAAAUAUUAUAAUUCUCAAAGUGGGUUUUAUUCUGGCAGAGAAUGAACCUAAAUUAUCUGAUAAGAAACGAUUAAAAAGAAAAAUGCUUGUAUUAAUCUCAACAAUACCAUUCUUUUUAUUUUAGUAUUUUUAUAGGCACUUGAUUGAUCAAGCAGCUCAUGUAAACAUAUCACCUUUGUUCUUCCUGUGCCAUGGAAAUGAAUAAUGAAAAUGGGAUUGUGGAGAUUUUUUUCUCCCUAUAUAGUUGGCUAUACAUCAGAUUCGACGUUGCGUGUCAAUACAGCUGCUGUGCUGCUAUUACAGCAUUGGAGAAUUUUUUAUUGGAAUUGCAUUUUCAUUUUCUACUUACUUUAUAGCAACUAAAGCAACUGCCUUUACACCCUGUUAGAAAGCAAACUGAACAAAGAAUUCAUUUAAUAUGAAAAAAUUCCAUGGCAUGUAUUUGCGAUUGAAUUUUCAUCUUCAGGUACCCUAUAUAUUAAUACAUAGAGCAAACUGAAUUCAGCUGAAGAUUGUGCUCGGAACAAAUGAAAAAUUGACAUCUUUAUUCCAUUAAUCCAAAAAUGCCCCACGUGCAUUGAGUGAGAGAGAUUGGUUGUUACUUUAGUCAGACAAAGAAGGGUAUUUAAGUUUAAUGAAUAUGCAGUUAAAGCGACUAUGAGGUUGCAAAUGAAUUUUUCUAGGUUACAUGUUGAGUAUGGAAUUGCAAAUGAGUUACAGAAAUUUUGUGGAGUUAUUUGUUCCAAAUAGGAGAUAAAUAUUUUUCCAGCAAUAAGAAGCAUAUGACUUAAGUUUCAUUUUUUUUCUUGAAGAAAUGUCAUUGUGUGUACUUAGUUAUCAUAUCAAAUGCAGAAAGAGUUAUGAAUUAUUUGAUGCACAUUGCUUUGCUAAGCCUUUUUAUAUUAUACUAAUGCACCCCAGAUGUAUGCUAAACUUGAGUUAUAGCCUCAUUUCUGGCAGUUUUUUGACUUUGUGCUUGUAAACCAUCAAGAAAUAGCUUGGAGAUUAAGAUAUAGAAUCCCAUUUGUCAAACGAUUUAUUUGUGGUGUUUUGUUUGUUCAAUAGGGGGCAAGGUUAGCAAGUCCUUUAGCCUGGUUGGAAAAGAAAGAAACUUAUUCUUAUUCCUCUUAUAUAAUUAUCUAAUAGAUUAUCCCUUGUGUAGAAUAAUAGCUCAGUUUUUGCUAUACGUGUUUGAAUUUUCUAUUUAUUGUCAAUUUUUUUCUUAAUAAAAAAAGGAGA